GUGCAAUCUUCCGCAAUAGGACGAAAGUCUGACGGAGCAUGCCGCGUGAGUGAAGAAGGUUUUCGGAUCGUAAAACUCUGUUGUUAGAGAAGAACAAGGAUGAGAGUAACUGCUCAUCCCCUGGAGGGUUCUUAACCUGAAAGCCCGGGUCACUUGUUG
RNAcentral lists this ribosomal RNA (159 nucleotides) under bacterium SM4.1-L.43. RNAcentral describes it as "partial 16S ribosomal RNA". It matches the Rfam family "Bacterial small subunit ribosomal RNA", at positions 356 to 507 of the family's 1533-position model. The record is from RNAcentral.